CCAGGGCAUGGUGGUACAUGCCUGUAAUCCCAGCAACUAGGGAGGCUGAGGCAGGAGGAUCAUAAGUUUGAGGCUAGCCUCAGCAAUUUAGUGAGACUGUAAACAACUUAGUGAGACCCUGUCUCAA
This 127-nucleotide small RNA is filed under the name Marmota monax (woodchuck). Lineage: Eukaryota; Metazoa; Chordata; Mammalia; Rodentia; Sciuridae. The record is from RNAcentral.